GCAGCAGUGAGGAAUAUUGGUCAAUGGGCGCGAGCCUGAACCAGCCAAGUCGCGUGAGGGAUGAAGGUCCUAUGGAUCGUAAACCUCUUUUAUAAGGGAAUAAAGUGUGGGACGUGUCCUAUUUUGUAUGUACCUUAUGAAUAAGGAUCGGCUAACUCCGUGCCAGCAGCCGCGGUAAUACGGAGGAUCCGAGCGUUAUCCGGAUUUAUUGGGUUUAAAGGGUGCGUAGGCGGCCUUUUAAGUCAGCGGUGAAAGUCUGUGGCUCAACCAUAGAAUUGCCGUUGAAACUGGGGGGCUUGAGUAUGUUUGAGGCAGGCGGAAUGCGUGGUGUAGCGGUGAAAUGCUUAGAUAUCACGCAGAACCCCGAUUGCGAAGGCAGCCUGCCAAGCCAUGACUGACGCUGAUGCACGAAAGCGUGGGGAUCAAACAGGAUUAGAUACCCUGGUAGUCCACGCAGUAAACGAUGAUCACUAGCUGUUUGCGAUACAGUGUAA
This 494-nucleotide ribosomal RNA is filed under the name uncultured bacterium. RNAcentral's name for it is "bacterial SSU rRNA". It matches the Rfam family "Bacterial small subunit ribosomal RNA", at positions 348 to 842 of the family's 1533-position model. The record is from RNAcentral.